RNAcentral lists this ribosomal RNA (292 nucleotides) under uncultured bacterium. RNAcentral's name for it is "partial 16S ribosomal RNA". It matches the Rfam family "Bacterial small subunit ribosomal RNA", at positions 505 to 796 of the family's 1533-position model. The record is from RNAcentral.
GUGUCAGCAGCCGCGGUAAUACGAAGGGUGCAAGCGUUACUCGGAAUUACUGGGCGUAAAGCGUGCGUAGGUGGUGAGUUAAGUCUGUCGUGAAAGCCCCGGGCUCAACCUGGGAAUGGCGAUGGAUACUGGCUCGCUAGAGUGCGGUAGAGGAGAGUGGAAUUCCCGGUGUAGCAGUGAAAUGCGUAGAGAUCGGGAGGAACAUCAGUUGCGAAGGCGGCUCUCUGGACCAGCACUGACACUGAGGCACGAAAGCGUGGGGAGCAAACAGGAUUAGAAACCCCCGUAGUCC